AUACGUAGGUGGCAAGCGUUGUCCGGAAUUACUGUGUGUAAAGGGAGCGCAGGCGGGGAUGCAAGUUGGAUGUGAAAUACCGCAGCUUAACUGCGGAGCUGCAUCCCAAACUGUAUUUCUUGAGUGAAGUAGAGGUAGGCGGAAUUCCUAGUGUAGCGGUGAAAUGCGUAGAUAUUAGGAGGAACACCAGUGGCGAAGGCGGUCUACGGGGCUUUAACUGACGCUGAGGGUCGGAAGGGUGGGGUGAAAACAGGAUUAGAUCCCCUGGUGGUCCACACUGUAAACGAGGAUACUUAGGGGUGGGGGGACUGACCCCUUCCGUGCCGGAGUAAACGCAAUAAGUGAUCCUCCUGGGGAGUACGGCCGCAAGGUUGAAACUCAAAUGAAUUGACGGGG
This 396-nucleotide ribosomal RNA is filed under the name uncultured bacterium. Its description in RNAcentral is "partial 16S ribosomal RNA". It matches the Rfam family "Bacterial small subunit ribosomal RNA", at positions 523 to 918 of the family's 1533-position model. The record is from RNAcentral.